AGAUGAACUCUCCCAUCCCCUUGAGGGAGUAAGACCCCUGGUAGACCACCAGGUUGAUAGGCCGGCGGUGUAAGCGCAGUAAUGUGCUCAGCCGACCGGUACUAAUGGGUCGAGGGCUUGACGGA
This 125-nucleotide ribosomal RNA is filed under the name Thermoleophilia bacterium. RNAcentral's name for it is "partial 23S ribosomal RNA". It matches the Rfam family "Bacterial large subunit ribosomal RNA", at positions 2802 to 2925 of the family's 2925-position model. The record is from RNAcentral. Lineage: Bacteria; Bacillati; Actinomycetota; Thermoleophilia.